AACCCCUAAACUGAGAUACGUUGUAGAUUAGAAGAACGAUUUUUUUUAAAAUGUUUUUUGGACGAUCCAACCGUACAGAUGUUGGGGAAGGCGAUUUUAUUAACUAGAAAAAAUUCUCGGAUUUUUUAAAAAUUAUUUUCGGUGACAUUUUAAUAAAAGAAAUAGAAAGAAGAUAUAAUUUGUUAACAAUAUUUAUUAAUUUAAUUAUAAUCACAGUAUCACACAGAUUAGUCGAACACAAUUAUUGGGCUCUAACAGUUAGGUCGUUAUUUUCUUUCUCUUAUCCCUUACUUUCUUCUUUUUCUCCUCAGCGCUUCUCUUUCUUUCAUCUUUUCUCUGUUAAUUGUUUCAUCAGCUAAUUGUUUCAUCAGCUAAUUGUUUCAUCAAGGCCACCAUCUACACUUCAUUUUAGAUGGAUAGGUCAUUGUUACGAGCUGAUAGAAGAACAAAAGAGUUUCAAAGAGGCGUUGAAGAUUUAUUGUUGUUUGCAUAUGGAAAUGGGUAUACUGAAGAAAAGAUUAGCUGUCCCUGCACAAGGUGCGCACAUAGUAAAUCAUGGAAAGCUCAAACAGUUAAACAUCAUCUUUUUCAAUACGGUAUCGAUCAAACUUAUACACGUUGGAUAUGGCACGGGGAGUCAAAUUUAGUAGAAAGUCCUGUACCGACUGAAACAGGAAGUACUUCAGAAUCUAUUAAUCAGUUUUCCACAGGAAUGGAUAUACCUGAGGACCAUGAAGAUGAUAUUUCUUCAGAUUAUUCAGAUUUUAUCAACCAUGUUAAAGGUGAACAUCAGCCACUUUAUCCCGGAUGUGAGAGUUACACUAAGUUAAAAGCUUUAGUUAAGUUGUACAAUUUGAAAGCGAAGCAUGGUAUGUCUGAUGCAUGCUUCUCUGAUGUUCUACUACUAAUCGGGUCUAUGCUCCCGGAAGGAAACAAUAUUCCUUCUUCCUUCACUGAAGCGAAAAAAACCUUAUGUUCAUUAGGAAUGGGGUAUGAAAAGAUACACGCAUGUCCGAAUGAUUGUUUAUUAUACCGUGGUGAGAGAGAUGAGGAUGAGACUACAUGUCGUAUAUGUAAGGCCUCUAGAUGGAAAGUGAAUCGGAAAGGAGAGGAACUGGAAGGGGUACCUGCUAAGGUUUUAUGGUAUUUUCCGUUGAUACCGAGAUUAAGAAAUUUAUUCAGUACACUGCACAUUGCAAAAGAAAUGACUUGGCAUGACACUGGGCGACAAAAGGAUGGUAAAAUGAGGCAUCCAGCUGACUCAAAAACAUGGAAGGAUGUCGACCAAAACUGGCCCGAUUUUGCAUCAGAGACCAGGAACCUUCGACUAGCUUUAUCUGCUGAUGGUUUCAAUCCCUUUCAUGGAAACCGUACUGAUCACUCAACCUGGCCUGUUUUGCUAUCAAUUUACAACCUUCCUCCCUGGCUUUGUAUGAAGAGAAGAUAUAUUAUGCUCUGUUUAUUGAUAUCAGGACCAAUUGAAUCAGGAAAUGAUAUCGACGUGUACCUUCAACCACUUAUAGAAGAUUUACAAGAGUUGUGGCGAGGGAAACAAGUGUACGACGCAUAUAAGGAAGAAUCUUUCAUACUUAGGGGCAUUUUAUUAUGGACAAUAAGUGAUUAUCCAGCCUUAGGGAACUUGUCGGGAAACGUCGUUAAAGGUUAUAAUGCUUGUACUGUAUGCAUUGAUCAAACAAAAGCUACCAGGCUUGUUAAUUACCGCAAGACGGUGGUCAUGAGGCAUCGGAGGUGGUUGCCCCGUCAUCAUCCGUAUAGAAAGCAAAAAUCAGCUUUUGAUAACACUAUAGAGAAGGAGGGUGCUCCUAUUCCAUUAACUGGAGAGCAAGUUUUUCAAAGAGUACAACAUCUGAGGGGUCAUGUCUUUGGUAAGACACAACGCCCACUUCGAUGGAAGAAAGGUGAAGCUCGACCCAUAUGGAAGAAGGUUUCUAUAUUCUUCCAACUCGAGUAUUGGAAGUUUUUUCCAGUCAGGCAUGUCCUCGAUGUGAUGCACAUCGAGAAAAAUAUAUGUGAAGCUUUGAUUGGAACUUUGCUAAAUAUUCCGGGAAAGACAAAAGAUCGGGAGUCUGUCCGUCUUGACAUGGCUGAAAUGGGAAUAAGAACAGAGUUGAGGCCAAAAACUCCCGGAAAGAAAGAGAAGGUGCCGUUGGCGUCAUGGAACUUAUCACAUGCUGAAAAAAAAACUGUUUGCUCAUCCUUUCUUAAAAUGAAGUUACCGGAUGGAUUUUGUUCAAAUAUCAAGAAUCUGGUAAAUAUGGAAAAAUUACGACUUGUUGGAAUGAAAUCACAUGAUUGUCACACGAUAUUGCAUCAUUUGCUUCCAAUUUCCAUUCGAUCAGUACUGCAAAAAGAAGUCAGGUGCACAAUUAUUAAGUUUUGUCUCUUCUUCAAGGCAAUUUGUAGUAAAGACAUCGAUAUAGAUAAAUUGGAAAAAAUCCAAUCUCAGUUGGUGGAAACAUUAUGCCAGCUUGAAAAACACUUCCCUCCCUCCUUCUUUGAUGUGAUGAUCCAUCUCUCAAUUCAUCUCGUGAGAUAGGUUAAGCUUUGCGUGCCAAUAUUCCUACGUUGGAUGUAUCCUUUCGAAAGAUACAUGAAGACGUUUAAGGGAUAUGUACGGAAUCCAGCUCAUCCUGAAGGAUGUAUUGCCGAGGCAUAUGUUGCCGAAGAGGCCGUCGAGUGUUUGGUAAAUUUUGAAGAAGCUACCAUUGGAUUGCCGCGAAAUCCUAGGCAAGAGCAGAAUGAUGGCAGGCCCUUAUCUGGUGCAACUAUGAUAAAGCCAAUCAAUCACGACUUGCACCUAGCACACUUGUGUUUUUUGCAAAACAGUAAUGACAUAAGGCCAUAUUUUGAGGAGCAUAUGGCAUCUUUGAUGACGAGAUUCAAACACCAUGAAAAUGAUGAAGUCUGGUUAAAAAAUAAGCAAAAUGAUACAUUCCCCACAUGGUUCAGGAAAAAGAUUGAAUCAGAAUUGUUGGAUGAACACAAUACUAUAACUGACGAGAUAAGGUGGAUGGCAGAAGGCCCGAACAAGAUUGUGCCUACAUUUAGCGGAUAUAAAAUCAAUGGUGUUACUUAUAGCACGAAGGAGCGUGAUGAUAAACGGCAAGUUCAGUGCAGUGGUGUUUGUGUGGUUGCAGAUACAAUGCUUGUGCAGGGUAAGGAUAAGAAUAUUGAACAUACUUCGUACACCUACUUUGGAGUUAUAACAGGUAUCUGGGAGUUAGACUAUAACAACUUUCGAGUUCCUGUAUUUCUUUGUAAUUGGGUAGAUAUGAACAAAGGGGUUAAGGUAGAUAACAUGGGAUUUACACUAGUGAAUUUAAAUAAAUUAGGCUUUAUAAAUGAUCCUUUUGUUCUAGGUAAACAUGUUAAGCAAGUAUGUUACAUUGAGGAUCCUCUUGAAAAAAAUUGGUCUGUUGUGUUGAAAUUACCGGAAAAGAACUACUAUGACCACUGUGAUGACGAAAAUGAUGGAUCGGUAGAAAUAGAACUUGAGAAUGAGUUACAUGUGCCAACGUUCCCGAAUGAUGACGAACAUGACGAGGAAAAAGCUAGUUAUAUGAGGGACGAAGAAGAAUGGAUCCAACUUUCAUGAUGUGAAUGAUCCAAUUUUUUAGCCUCAUUUGAAACUACUUAAGGGCAAGAAAAUUUAGGUCAUUUAAUGAUGAUGGAACCUGCAGGGUUUACUGAUGAUGUUGAUCAAGGUGAGAUGAUGUUGAUCAAGCAGGAAGAAGAAAUUUUAACAGUUGAGCCAAUUUGGGUGGACACAUACCACUGUUUGAUCGCAUUCUUGUUUUCCUAGUUGGUGCUUUGUAUUCCACUGUAAUACGCUACUCUGCCAACAUACAUGUUAUGUUUUGUGUAGGCAGUAGGUUUAGUUUGUUUAUUUCUCGAUUCAUGGAUUAACUUGUAAAUUUGACAGCAGUAUUUAGUUUGUUGGAUGAAUGCAAUGUCCAUUAUUUACUCUCUUUAAAAUAAUGCAACAGCUGCAAUAAUGAUUGCAUUUUGCAGCUUUUGUAUUAUUUUAAAGAGAGUAACACUGGACAUGUAUGCUCUUAUCGCCAAACUUAGAAUUUAAAAGUUGAAACCAUGAUGAUGAAUAUAUAAGUUAAAUGUGAU
This is an RNA transcript of Daucus carota subsp. sativus, 4140 nucleotides long. RefSeq lists it as uncharacterized. The transcript is spliced from 5 exons. The record is from RefSeq and is a predicted model, not a curated record. Lineage: Eukaryota; Viridiplantae; Streptophyta; Magnoliopsida; Apiales; Apiaceae.